This 253-nucleotide ribosomal RNA is filed under the name uncultured bacterium. Its description in RNAcentral is "partial 16S ribosomal RNA". It matches the Rfam family "Bacterial small subunit ribosomal RNA", at positions 524 to 776 of the family's 1533-position model. The record is from RNAcentral.
UACGUAGGGUGCGAGCGUUGUCCGGAAUUAUUGGGCGUAAAGGGCUCGUAGGCGGUCUGUCACGUCGAAAGUGAAAACUCAGGGCUUAACCCUGAGCCUGCUCCCGAUACGGGCAGACUAGAGGUAUGCAGGGGAGAACGGAAUUCCUGGUGUAGCGGUGAAAUGCGCAGAUAUCAGGAGGAACACCGGUGGCGAAGGCGGCCUUCUGGACAGUGACUGACGCUGAGACGCGAAAGCGUGGGGAGCAAACAGG